RNAcentral lists this ribosomal RNA (447 nucleotides) under uncultured bacterium. RNAcentral's name for it is "SSU rRNA". It matches the Rfam family "Bacterial small subunit ribosomal RNA", at positions 26 to 518 of the family's 1533-position model. The record is from RNAcentral.
AGAGCGAACGCUGGCGGCAUGCUUAACACAUGCAAGUCGCACGGGCAUUUCGGUGUCAGUGGCGGACGGGUGAGUAACGCGUAGGUAUCUAUCCUUGGGUGGGGGAUAACGGUUGGAAACGACUGCUAAUACCGCAUGAUAACUGAGGUUUAAAGGCGCAAGUCGCCUGGGGAGGAGCCUGCGUACGAUUAGCUUGUUGGUGGGGUAAAGGCCUACCAAGGCGACGAUCGUUAGCUGGUCUGAGAGGAUGAUCAGCCACAUUGGGACUGAGACACGGCCCAAACUCCUACGGGAGGCAGCAGUGGGGAAUAUUGGACAAUGGGCGAAAGCCUGAUCCAGCAAUGCCGCGUGUGUGAAGAAGGUCUUCGGAUUGUAAAGCACUUUCGACAGGGACGAUGAUGACGGUACCUGUAGAAGAAGCCCGGCUAACUUCGUGCCAGCAGCCGC